RNAcentral lists this ribosomal RNA (566 nucleotides) under Rhingia pycnosoma. RNAcentral describes it as "partial large subunit ribosomal RNA". The record is from RNAcentral. Lineage: Eukaryota; Metazoa; Arthropoda; Insecta; Diptera; Syrphidae.
AGUACGUGAAACUGCUUAGAGGUUAAGCCCGAUGAACCUGAAUAUCCGUUAUGGAAAAUUCAUCAUUAAUAUUAUAAUAUUUAUCAUAUUAUAAAAAUAGUGUGCAAUUUUUCCAUAUAAGGACAUUGUGAUCUGUUAAUGUAUUAAUUAUUUAUUAAAAGAUCUUAUACUUAGGUUUAUUUGAAUUUGUUAUCUUCGGAUUUCAAACAUAAAAUAAAUGUAUUUGAUUUAAUAAAUCAUUGACAGAUUUCAUUAUAUAUAGUGCUUAAAUUUUUUUUAUAAAAUUUUACAAUAGCAUGAUAAUUCUAUUUAUUGUGUUUAUUGUAUGCGCUUAUAUGAUUAACAAUGCGAUAGAUUCAGGAUACCUUCGGGACCCGUCUUGAAACACGGACCAAGGAGUCUAACAUAUGUGCAAGUCAUUGGGUAUUUUUAAUAAAACCCAAUGGCAUAAUUAACUUAACUGUUAUAUGGGAUUAGUUUAAAUUUUAUUAUGAAAUAUAAAUUCAAUCCCGGGGCGUUCUAUACAGUUAUACAUAAUGAUAUUUAUAUUAUUUAUGCCUCUAACU